UGGCUUAGUUGGUAGAGCAUGGUGUUUGCAACGCCAGGGUUGUGGGUUCCAUUCUCAC
This 58-nucleotide transfer RNA is filed under the name Salmo salar (Atlantic salmon). It matches the Rfam family "tRNA", at positions 8 to 63 of the family's 71-position model. From Rfam's summary of the family: Transfer RNA (tRNA) molecules are approximately 80 nucleotides in length. Their secondary structure includes four short double-helical elements and three loops (D, anti-codon, and T loops). The record is from Rfam by way of RNAcentral. Lineage: Eukaryota; Metazoa; Chordata; Actinopteri; Salmoniformes; Salmonidae.